RNAcentral lists this ribosomal RNA (302 nucleotides) under uncultured bacterium. RNAcentral's name for it is "partial 16S ribosomal RNA". It matches the Rfam family "Bacterial small subunit ribosomal RNA", at positions 508 to 807 of the family's 1533-position model. The record is from RNAcentral.
GCAGCCGCCACGGUAAUACGUAGGGUGCAAGCGUUAAUCGGAAUUACUGGGCGUAAAGCGUGCGCAGGCGGUUUGUCAAGACAGAUGUGAAAUCCCCGGGCUUAACCUGGGAACUGCAUUUGUGACUGGCGAGCUAGAGUAUGGCAGAGGGGGGUAGAAUUCCACGUGUAGCAGUGAAAUGCGUAGAGAUGUGUAGGAAUACCGAUGGCGAAGGCAACCCCCUGGGCCAAUACUGACGCUCAUGCACGAAAGCGUGGGGAGCAAACAGGAUUAGAUACCCCCGUAGUCCCUGUCUCUUAUAC